AGCAGCCGCGGUAAUUCCAGCUCCAAUAGCGUAUAUUAAAGUUGUUGCAGUUAAAAGCUCGUAGUUGAACUUCGGGGUUUACUCAUUGGUCAGGCUUAAUUGUCUGUACUGGUGAGAUGAAUCUCUACCUUCUGAGGAACUUUCAUGCCAUUUAUUUGGUGUGAUUGGAAAUCAGGACUGUUACUUUGAAAAAUUGAGUGUUUAAAGCAGGCUAACGUCUGAAUACAUUAGCAUGGAAUAAUGAAAUAGGACGGAUUGAUUCUAUUUCGUUGGUUUCUAGGGUCACCGUAAUGAUUAAUAGGGAUAGUUGGGGGCAUUAGUAUUCAAUUGUCAGAGGUGAAAUUCUUGGAUUUAUUGAAGACUAACUACUGCGAAAGCAUUUGCCAAGGAUGUUUUCAUUAAUCAAGAACGAAAGUUAGGGAUCGAAGACGAUCAGAUACCGUCGUAGUCUUAACCAUAAACUAUGCCGACUAGGGAUCGGACGAAGUUAAUUAAUAAUGACGCGUUCGGCACCGUUAAC
Molecule: unclassified non-coding RNA, 520 nt
Filed under: uncultured Diversispora
Lineage: Eukaryota; Fungi; Glomeromycota; Glomeromycetes; Diversisporales; Diversisporaceae
Description: SSU rRNA
Rfam family: Eukaryotic small subunit ribosomal RNA
Source: RNAcentral